Equus caballus (horse) is the source of this 145-nucleotide microRNA precursor. The record is from Ensembl. NCBI's taxonomy places the organism in Eukaryota, Metazoa, Chordata, Mammalia, Perissodactyla, Equidae.
CCUUUGUGCCACCACCACUCCCCAUCCCCUAACCCUGCUCUGAGGGGUUUUUAAUGAAGUGGCAUCUGAAGUAUGCGCUCUAGACAUUGGCCCUGGAUCCUUGGGGGCAGGGGGCGGGGAGGAGAGAAAGGGGAGAGGCACGCCA